Triticum aestivum (bread wheat) is the source of this 196-nucleotide non-coding RNA. NCBI's taxonomy places the organism in Eukaryota, Viridiplantae, Streptophyta, Magnoliopsida, Poales, Poaceae. The record is from Rfam.
GUAGUACUCCUUCCGUCCCAAAUUACAUGUCGUGGAAAUAGAUAAAAACAGAUGUAUCUAGAACUAAAAUACGUCUAGAUACAUCCAUUUCCAACAAUAACAACAACAACAACAAAGCCUUUAGUCCCAAGCAAGUUGGGGUAGGCUAGAUACAUCCAUUUCCAUGACAAGAAAUUCUGGACGGAGGGAGUACUUA